This 494-nucleotide ribosomal RNA is filed under the name uncultured bacterium. RNAcentral's name for it is "partial 16S ribosomal RNA". It matches the Rfam family "Bacterial small subunit ribosomal RNA", at positions 28 to 507 of the family's 1533-position model. The record is from RNAcentral.
GACGAACGCUGGCGGCGCGCUUAACACAUGCAAGUCGAACGGAAAGGCCUGCUUUCCCUUGUGGAUUGCGGGUACUCGAGUGGCGAACGGGUGAGUAACACGUGAGUGAUCUGCCCCCAACUUGGGUAUAAGCCUGGGAAACUGGGUCUAAUUCCCGAUAGGACUGCAGGGUGGUGCCUGUGGUGGAAAACGAUUUUCUAGUGGUUGGGGAUGAGCUCGCGGCCUAUCAGCUUGUUGGUGGGGUAAUGGCCUACCAAGGCGGCGACGGGUAGCCGGCCUGAGAGGGGGGACGGCCACAUUGGGACUGAGAUACGGCCCAGACUCCUACGGGAGGCAGCAGUGGGGAAUAUUGCACAAGGGGCGGAAGCCUGAUGCAGCGACGCCGCGUGGGGGAUGACGGCCUUCGGGUGGUAAACUCCUUUCGACCGCGAGGAAGCCACCUGGUUGGAAGGGUGGUGACGGUAGUGGUAGAAGAAGCACCGGCUAACUACGUG